RNAcentral lists this ribosomal RNA (319 nucleotides) under uncultured eukaryote. Its description in RNAcentral is "partial 18S ribosomal RNA". It matches the Rfam family "Eukaryotic small subunit ribosomal RNA", at positions 1470 to 1796 of the family's 1831-position model. The record is from RNAcentral.
CCCUUAGAUGUUCUGGGCCGCACGCGCGCUACACUGAUGCAUUCAACAAGCCUAGCCUUGACCGAGAGGUCCGGGUAAUCUUUGAAACUGCAUCGUGAUGGGGCUAGAUUAUUGCAAUUAUUAAUCUUCAACGAGGAAUGCCUAGUAAGCGUGAUUCAUCAAAUCGCGUUGAUUACGUCCCUGCCCUUUGUACACACCGCCCGUCGCUCCUACCGAUUGAAUGGUCCGGUGAAAUCUCGGGACGGCGGCUUGGUCGCUUGCGUCCGACUGCUGAAACUUGAUUAAACCAUAUCAUUCAGAGGAAGGUGAAGUCGUAACA